Molecule: long non-coding RNA, 335 nt
Organism: Octopus sinensis (East Asian common octopus)
Lineage: Eukaryota; Metazoa; Mollusca; Cephalopoda; Octopoda; Octopodidae
Exons: 2
Source: RefSeq, a predicted model, not a curated record
GAAAGUGACGGUUUUCUUCUUCAAAUGUAAACAAAUACACGUGAUGUAAAUGGGACUCAUAUCGAAAGAAUGCCAAAACCAGAAAACUAGCAUGUUAAAGAGAUGUCUGUUUUGCUCCCUUGUCGUCCAGAAAUUUAUUAGAACAUGAUUGUUCAGUUAUGAACCUGUUACCAUAGAUACUAUUGCUUUGGCGUGUGAUCUACAACUUCAAGGACGAUUACUUUAGCCAACCUGAGAUACACCAAGUAAGCUUCCCCUUUGGUUUUCAUAAAAGGAAAAAAAAAGCCAAUGGUUAAAAAAAAAAAUGAAGAGAAGGGAGUGCAGAGCCUAGUGAA